Molecule: long non-coding RNA, 283 nt
Filed under: Lathyrus oleraceus (garden pea)
Lineage: Eukaryota; Viridiplantae; Streptophyta; Magnoliopsida; Fabales; Fabaceae
Description: Pisum sativum (pea) long non-coding RNA (PSAT_LNC016976)
Source: RNAcentral
UUUUUUUUAGCAGGAUCAACCUCGAUUCCUCUUUUCCACCCACAAUAAGCCCCAGCAAUUUAUCGGACCGCACUCUGAUAGUGCACUUAUUCGGAUUCAACCUCAGUCUGAAUUAUCUCAACUGGUCCACUCAGCUUGGCCAGAUCUACCAGAUGCCCCUCUUUUGUUUGGGACUUUGCUAUCAUGUCAUCAACAUAGCAUUCAAUUUCAUGAUGAAUCAUAUCAUGAAACAAAGUCACCAUGGCUCUCUGAUAAGUAGCAUCGGCGUUCUGCUUCACUAGAG